GACGAACGCUGGCGGCGUGCUUAACACAUGCAAGUCGAACGGAAAGGCCCUGCUCUUGUGGGGUGCUCGAGUGGCGAACGGGUGUGUAACACGCGAGUAACCUGCCCCUGACAUUGUGAUAACUUCAGGAAACUGGGGCUCAUACCGGGUAUGAGCUCCUGCUGCAUGGUGGGGGUUGGAAAGAUUCGGCGGUUGGGGCUGGUCUCGCGGCUUAUCGGCUGGUUGGUGUGGUAGUGGCUUACCAAGGUUGCGACGGAUAGCCGGCCUUGGAGGGUUACCGGCGACAUGGGGACUAAGAGAGGGACCAGACUCCAACGGGAGGCAGCAGUGGAGAAUAUUGCGGAGUGGGCGGAAGCGUGAGGCAGCAGCGCCGCGUGCGGAAUGACGGCCUUCGGGUGGUAAACCGAUUUCGCCUGUGACGAAGCGUGAGUGACGGUAAUGGGUAAAGAAGCACCGGCUAACUACGUG
This 468-nucleotide ribosomal RNA is filed under the name uncultured bacterium. RNAcentral describes it as "partial 16S ribosomal RNA". It matches the Rfam family "Bacterial small subunit ribosomal RNA", at positions 28 to 507 of the family's 1533-position model. The record is from RNAcentral.